GAGCUUGCUCCUUUGACGUUAGCGGCGGACGGGUGAGUAACGACGUGGGUAACCUGACCUAUAGAGACUGUGGAUAACUUCGGGAAACCGGAGCUAAUCACCGGUAUAACAUUUGGAACCGCAAGGUUCUAAAGUGAAAGAUGGUUUUGCUAUCACUUAUAAAUGGACCCGCGCCGUAGUAGCUAGUUGGUAAGGUAACGGCUUACCAAGGCGACGAUACGUAGCCGACCUGCAGCAGGGUGAUCGGCCACACUGGAACUGACGUACACGGUCCAGACUCCGUACGGGAGGUCGAGCAGUAGGGAAUCUUCCGCAAUGGGCGAAGAGCCUGAGCGGAGCAACGCCGCGUGAGUGAUGAAGGGUUUCUGGCUCGUGAAAAGCUCUGUUAUUAGGGAAGAACAAACGUGUAAUGUAACUGUGCACGUCUUGACGGUACCUAAUCAGAAAGCCACGGCUAACUACGUGCCAGCAGCCGCGGUAAUACGUAGUGGCAAGCGUUAUCCGGAAUUAUUGGGCGUAAAGCGCGCGUAGGCGGUUUCUUAAGUCUGAUGUGAAAGCCCACGGCUCAACCGUGGAGGGUCAUUGAAACUGGGAAACUUGAGUGCAUAACAUGAAAGUGGAAUUCCAUGUGUAGCGGUGAAAUGCGCAUAGAUAUGGAGGAACACCAGCUGGCGAAGGCGACUUUCUGGUCUGUAACUGA
RNAcentral lists this ribosomal RNA (700 nucleotides) under Staphylococcus sp. RNAcentral's name for it is "bacterial SSU rRNA". It matches the Rfam family "Bacterial small subunit ribosomal RNA", at positions 76 to 743 of the family's 1533-position model. Lineage: Bacteria; Bacillati; Bacillota; Bacilli; Caryophanales; Staphylococcaceae. The record is from RNAcentral.